ACGAACGCUGGCGGCGUGCUUAACACAUGCCAGUCGAACGGUGAAGCGCCUUCCUUUUUGGUGGGUGUGGAUGAGUGGCGAACGGGUGAGUAACACGUGAGUAACCUGCCCCCUUCUUCUGGAUAACCGCAUGAAAGUGUGGCUAAUACGGGAUAUUCUGGGUCUGUCGCAUGAUGGGUCUGGGAAAGAUAUUGUUUCUGUGGGGGAUGGGCUCGCGGCCUAUCAGCUUGUUGGUGGGGUGAUGGCCUACCAAGGCGGUGACGGGUAGCCGGCCUGAGAGGGUGGACGGUCACACUGGGACUGAGACACGGCCCAGACUCCUACGGGAGGCAGCAGUGGGGAAUAUUGCACAAUGGGCGCAAGCCUGAUGCAGCGACGCCGCGUGAGGGAUGGAGGCCUUCGGGUUGUGAACCUCUUUCGCCAGUGAAGCAGGCCUGCCUCGUUUGUGGGUGGGUUGACGGUAGCUGGAUAAGAAGCGCCGGCUAACUACGUG
RNAcentral lists this ribosomal RNA (493 nucleotides) under uncultured bacterium. RNAcentral describes it as "partial 16S ribosomal RNA". It matches the Rfam family "Bacterial small subunit ribosomal RNA", at positions 29 to 507 of the family's 1533-position model. The record is from RNAcentral.